Molecule: long non-coding RNA, 1097 nt
Organism: Apis mellifera (honey bee)
Lineage: Eukaryota; Metazoa; Arthropoda; Insecta; Hymenoptera; Apidae
Exons: 2
Source: RefSeq, a predicted model, not a curated record
GUAGAAGAUUCUGAUAAAGCGUGUACCGACGUUGUUUCACGGUUCCCGACGUGUUUGUCGCGAGAGAGAGACCACCAGUCGUGCGUUGCGUGCGACGCCAGGCGUCGUCGGUCUAGGCGUUGUGGCGCCUCGAUCUACCCUUUUGCUUGUCGCCCGUAUAGCGCAUAGGGUUGGCAGAAACCUCGAUCUAACUGCACACGUGUAUUUGCACAAGGCGAAACGCACGCACAACGGUUGCAUCAAAACUACACACACAUUCGAAAUAUUCUAUUUCAGCCCUUUCUAAAUUCACCAACCAAAGCUGCGUUAAUAACAUUAAAAGCCAAACAGGCUUUAACUUUAAGAAGCUUGAAUUCGUGUAACGUGAAACUGAUCUAAAUCUAUUUAUUUAUUUGAUCUUUACGAAAGUACGCUUUCUAAAGGAAAUAAUCAGUCUUUUAAGUUAAUUUUCUUCGAAAUAGAAGUCGAGUGCAAAUUCAAACUUCGAUCAAGUGUUUGAAAAAUUGCGUUGUUUAUUUAAACUGAAAUUGUAGACAAAACAAUUUAGUUAGUUUUGUAAAUUUAUCAAAAAACAUUAGAACAAAGAAAGAAAGGAGAAAACGUUAGAGAUAUAUUUACUUCGCACGAGCAAGCGUAAAUUUUUCACAGCCUCAACUUUAUCUAUCUCAUAAUAACAAAAAUAACGUUCGCCGUAUCGUUUGUGGCUUCAAUACCCAUGUAGCCGGGACCUAAUGAUGUGCACAUAUACGGAACGUUCCAUCUCGUAGACUGACCUGACAAACGCAGCUGUCCUUGGCCUCGCAAAAAGCCAAAAUUAGAAAUGGCACUUAGUAACUCGGAGAAAGAGAUUGGAGGAGGCAUAUAGAAGAAAGAAAGAGAUGAGAAGUGGCUGGAAGUCUGCUGUACAGUUGUCUCGAACGGAAAUGGGAUAAUGUAAUUGUCUCUCCUAUCAGUAGGGGAUUACUCAGUUCUCUACAAAUACAAAUACACGUAGAGGAUAGAGAAGGAUAGAGAAGUAUGCGAACUAGUGCAUUUGGUUCCUUUCAUCUCUUGCUUUUAUUUUAUAAUUAAUAUCACAAUAAAUAUAUAUCAAACGA